This 436-nucleotide long non-coding RNA is filed under the name Androctonus crassicauda. Lineage: Eukaryota; Metazoa; Arthropoda; Arachnida; Scorpiones; Buthidae. The record is from RNAcentral.
UUUAAAAUAGAGAGAGUUCUUUACAAACUGUUGAGAAUUUUACAAUGGAAUUCCCAACAUUUUGUUAUUUACCUUGGAGAUGAGGAAUAUCCAAAUGUCUCAGCACGAGUAAGUUUGAUACCGUCGAUCUAUAGAUGGAGGGAGGGGGAAUCAGGAUGUCUUCCGGCUUCUCUGUGGAUGUCCGGCGUUUAUAGAAUUUUCAAUUGGAAAAGUUCAAACGUAAGGAAUAAGUUGAAAGUCUGCAUAGGUACACAGGAGAGUCACCACAACAGGCGGACAAGUCUGAAACGAAGCGGCGGAGACAAAAGACGAACGUGCGAAAGUCAGGAAGAUCGGAGAAGACUUUGCGAAUUCUUCUCUUCGUACGACGACUUCUGUAUCUCGUUUAAACCUGAGUUCCCCCGAGAUACUUCCCACGAUCGUUUUUAUAGGGUCC